AAUUCUCAACUUUACUAGUUAUGUCCUGCAUACUAGUAUGGCUUGGAUUUAUGGGAGUUGCAGGCUUUGUUUUUAGAAAAGCUAGCUCUUCUUAAAUAUAUUAGCAGAACCAUUGCUGAUGUUCCUCUGGUGUUGAUAAAUUUAUCUAAUAUCGUUUGGAGUUAGUUUUGGUUAGCUUUCUGAUUUUAUCUGUUGACAAA
RNAcentral lists this unclassified non-coding RNA (200 nucleotides) under uncultured Agaricales. RNAcentral's name for it is "sequence contains ITS2". Lineage: Eukaryota; Fungi; Basidiomycota; Agaricomycetes; Agaricales. The record is from RNAcentral.